GCCUGGCUGGCUCAGCCGGUAGAGCAUGUGACUCUCCAUCACGGGGACGUGAGUUUGAGACCCACGUUGGGUG
Transfer RNA from Felis catus (domestic cat), 73 nucleotides. It matches the Rfam family "tRNA". Rfam says of the family: Transfer RNA (tRNA) molecules are approximately 80 nucleotides in length. Their secondary structure includes four short double-helical elements and three loops (D, anti-codon, and T loops). Lineage: Eukaryota; Metazoa; Chordata; Mammalia; Carnivora; Felidae. The record is from Rfam.